This 492-nucleotide ribosomal RNA is filed under the name uncultured bacterium. Its description in RNAcentral is "partial 16S ribosomal RNA". It matches the Rfam family "Bacterial small subunit ribosomal RNA", at positions 29 to 507 of the family's 1533-position model. The record is from RNAcentral.
AUUGAACGCUGGCGGCAUGCUUUACACAUGCAAGUCGAACGGUAACAGGCCUUCGGGUGCUGACGAGUGGCGAACGGGUGAGUAAUGCAUCGGAACGUACCCAGAGGUGGGGGAUAACGCAGCGAAAGCUGUGCUAAUACCGCAUGUGAUCUGAGGAUGAAAGCGGGGGACCGAGCAGCAAUGUUUGGCCUCGCGCCUUUGGAGCGGCCGAUGUCGGAUUAGCUAGUUGGUGGGGUAAAGGCCUACCAAGGCGACGAUCCGUAGCUGGUCUGAGAGGACGACCAGCCACACUGGGACUGAGACACGGCCCAGACUCCUACGGGAGGCAGUAGUGGGGAAUUUUGGACAAAGGGCACAAGCCUGAUCCAGCAAUGCCGCGUGCGGGAAGAAGGCCUUCGGGUUGUAAACCGCUUUUGGCAGGAACGAAACGGUGUCCGCUAAUACCGGGCGCUAAUGACGGUACCUGCAGAAUAAGCACCGGCUAACUACGUG